Molecule: long non-coding RNA, 534 nt
Organism: Rhincodon typus (whale shark)
Lineage: Eukaryota; Metazoa; Chordata; Chondrichthyes; Orectolobiformes; Rhincodontidae
Exons: 3
Source: RefSeq, a predicted model, not a curated record
CUCUACUGCACAUUCAAUGUAGUUUCCUCAUGCCGUCAACAGACUUGGUCCUCCAGAAUGGAUUAGCUGGGCCUGUGUCACAGAAGCCUUGACCAUCUGGGUGUUAUUCUUCCAUCCAUCGGAAGAAAGGCUCAUGGAAAAGUAACACACACUUCACUGAAGCAUAGUGACGAAAUACCCAAAAGCACGAUUGAGAAUCUGUUCUAUCAGUACAUCUGGGAUGCUGCCAGACCUGCUGAGCUUCUCCAGCAACUUUGUUUUUGUUCCUGGUAUACAGCAUCCGCAGUUCUUUUGGUUUUUGUAAGAGGAUCAAUGCUGGGCAAGUUUAUUUGGAAUGAAUUGACGGUGCAACAAUGGAAGGUCGACGUAAUCAAAUGAUUCAUGAACACAAAAGUUGUGUAAAUCGAAACUUGUGUCACGUUAUAACAAUAUGUUCUUCGAUGCUGGGCUUCGGGUUUAAUAAGCCUGUGAAACAUGGCGUUCAGACUGUCCUAGAGGUACGGCCCUCCAGCUCGGGUGGUUUAACCAGCACGU